GUGCUCAAUUCAGCAGCACAUAUACUAAGAAUGGAACAAUACAGAGAAGUUUGGCAUGGCCCCUGUGAAAGAAUGACACACAAAUUCAUGAAGCAUUCCAUAUGUUU
Cricetulus griseus (Chinese hamster) is the source of this 107-nucleotide small nuclear RNA. The record is from Ensembl. Lineage: Eukaryota; Metazoa; Chordata; Mammalia; Rodentia; Cricetidae.